Molecule: ribosomal RNA, 771 nt
Filed under: uncultured bacterium
Lineage: Bacteria
Description: bacterial SSU rRNA
Rfam family: Bacterial small subunit ribosomal RNA
Source: RNAcentral
AGAGUUUGAUCAUGGCUCAGGACGAACGCUGGCGGCGUGCUUAACACAUGCAAGUCGAGCGGUAAGGCCCUUCGGGGUACACGAGCGGCGAACGGGUGAGUAACACGUGGGUAAUCUGCCCUGCACUCUGGGAUAAGCCCGGGAAACUGGGUCUAAUACCGGAUACGACCGCUGUGGGCAUCCAUGGUGGUGGAAAGUUCCGGCGGUGCAGGAUGAGCCCGCGGCCUAUCAGCUUGUUGGUGGGGUGAUGGCCUACCAAGGCGACGACGGGUAGCCGGCCUGAGAGGGCGACCGGCCACACUGGGACUGAGACACGGCCCAGACUCCUACGGGAGGCAGCAGUGGGGAAUAUUGCGCAAUGGGCGAAAGCCUGACGCAGCGACGCCGCGUGAGGGAUGACGGCCUUCGGGUUGUAAACCUCUUUCGCCAGGGACGAAGAGUGAUUGACGGUACCUGGAGAAGAAGCACCGGCUAACUACGUGCCAGCAGCCGCGGUAAUACGUAGGGUGCGAGCGUUGUCCGGAAUUAUUGGGCGUAAAGAGCUCGUAGGCGGUUUGUUGCGUCGGCCGUGAAAACUUCACGCUUAACGUGGAGCUUGCGGUCGAUACGGGCAGACUUGAGUUCGGUAGGGGAGACUGGAAUUCCUGGUGUAGCGGUGAAAUGCGCAGAUAUCAGGAGGAACACCGGUGGCGAAGGCGGGUCUCUGGGCCGAUACUGACGCUGAGGAGCGAAAGCGUGGGGAGCGAACAGGAUUAGAUACCCCCGUAGUCC